RNAcentral lists this ribosomal RNA (859 nucleotides) under Salmonella enterica subsp. enterica serovar Enteritidis. Its description in RNAcentral is "partial 23S ribosomal RNA". It matches the Rfam family "Bacterial large subunit ribosomal RNA", at positions 2022 to 2875 of the family's 2925-position model. Lineage: Bacteria; Pseudomonadati; Pseudomonadota; Gammaproteobacteria; Enterobacterales; Enterobacteriaceae. The record is from RNAcentral.
CCACCCGAGACUCAGUGAAAUUGAACUCGCUGUGAAGAUGCAGUGUACCCGCGGCAAGACGGAAAGACCCCGUGAACCUUUACUAUAGCUUGACACUGAACAUUGAGCCUUGAUGUGUAGGAUAGGUGGGAGGCUUUGAAGUGUGGACGCCAGUCUGCAUGGAGCCGACCUUGAAAUACCACCCUUUAAUGUUUGAUGUUCUAACGUGGACCCGUUACCCGGGUUGCGGACAGUGUCUGGUGGGUAGUUUGACUGGGGCGGUCUCCUCCUAAAGAGUAACGGAGGAGCACGAAGGUUGGCUAAUCCUGGUCGGACAUCAGGAGGUUAGUGCAAUGGCAUAAGCCAGCUUGACUGCGAGCGUGACGGCGCGAGCAGGUGCGAAAGCAGGUCAUAGUGAUCCGGUGGUUCUGAAUGGAAGGGCCAUCGCUCAACGGAUAAAAGGUACUCCGGGGAUAACAGGCUGAUACCGCCCAAGAGUUCAUAUCGACGGCGGUGUUUGGCACCUCGAUGUCGGCUCAUCACAUCCUGGGGCUGAAGUAGGUCCCAAGGGUAUGGCUGUUCGCCAUUUAAAGUGGUACGCGAGCUGGGUUUAGAACGUCGUGAGACAGUUCGGUCCCUAUCUGCCGUGGGCGCUGGAGAACUGAGGGGGGCUGCUCCUAGUACGAGAGGACCGGAGUGGACGCAUCACUGGUGUUCGGGUUGUCAUGCCAAUGGCACUGCCCGGUAGCUAAAUGCGGAAGAGAUAAGUGCUGAAAGCAUCUAAGCACGAAACUUGCCCCGAGAUGAGUUCUCCCUGAGACUUAAAGUCUCCUGAAGGAACGUUGAAGACGACGACGUUGAUAGGCCGGGUGUGUAAGCG